CGACUGUAAAGUGAAGCCAUUAUUUUUCAUACAGAGGAAUAAAGAAAUACAGCAGCUACAGCACAGAAAUAACCUUUGGUAUGAAUAACUGCAGUGUUUUGCUUUCCAUCUCCGUUAUGAAGAAUUUUAUUUUAAAACUGGAAGAAAAAGGAAGAAAGAGGCAGCCCUCUUUGGGUUUGAGACUCAAGGAUGCCCAAAAGGCACUUAAGGUCUAAAUUGCCAAAGGAUGUGCAAAUGCCUUAAUGGCGGCAGCUUUGACACCUAGACUGGCACCUGUUACUGCCCUCCUGGCUUCACUGGCGCUGACUCCCGUCGAAUUUGUCCUGAGGAUCACUAUGGGCAGGACUGUGACCAACGGUGUCCCUGUGGCUCAGGACAGCAUGACCCAGUGACUGGCGGGUGCCAGUGUCCACCUAGCCAGAUGGGAGCCAGGUGUCAGCAAGUGUAGGAUGUCCCCAAACAAUGUAUGGCCCAAAUUGUGAGCUAAAAUGUACCUGUAAAAAUGGUGGACUUUGCAGUCCUGUAGAUGGAAGAAGUACCUGUGGUCUUGGAUAGACAGGAAAUUACCGUGAAAAAGGUAAGUUGAUUAUCACAUUCUUUUAUUCAAUAAAAUUCUGGGGCAUACUUCCA
RNAcentral lists this long non-coding RNA (630 nucleotides) under Ursus maritimus (polar bear). RNAcentral describes it as "lncRNA (ENSUMAG00000002868.1)". The record is from RNAcentral. Lineage: Eukaryota; Metazoa; Chordata; Mammalia; Carnivora; Ursidae.